AUGUCGAUUUCCGAUCGGGUUACUCUGAUCAGAUCGGUCCUUUAUGCUAUCCCCACAUUCCAGUUGUUGGCGAUCGACCCGAAUCCGUGGAUGGUUAAGAAGUUUGACAAGCUCUGUUGUGGGUUCCUCUGGGCCAACAAAGAUGAAGCCCCUGGUGGGAAAUGUCUGAUAAACUGGAAGUAGGUAUGUCUGCCUCGUGCCAUGGGCGGCCUGGGCGUGCCUAGCCUGGGAUACAAGAGCUUGGCCCUGAGAUGCAGAUGGCUUUGGUUAUCUUCGAUGGAUCGGUCCAAGCCAUGGAUUGGGCUUCCCCUGCCUGUCGACCGGACCGUGCGACAACUUUUCGAGGUGUCGGUGGACUUCUCAAUUGGGGAUGGCACGAUCACACAAUUCUGGACUGACCCAUGGCUGCGGCGUCAAAGUCUGUGCACAACUUACCCUGACCUUUUUGGCCAGUGCACCCUCCGACGCAUAACCAUUGCUGCGGCUUUGCAUAAUGACAAGUGGAUGAGACAUUUCAAGCUCAACAUGACUGCUGAUGCGCUCCUCCAGUUCACAAACCUAUGGCACGACCUUGAAGCAAUGCACCUCAAUCCGGAUCAGCAAGACUCAAUCUCAUGGAGAUGGACGGCCAAUGGUGUUUACAGCGCAGCCUCUGCGAACAGAAUUCUCUUUGCUGCAACCAUCAAGCAGGACUUUGCCAAAAUGGCAUGGAACUCUGAGGCCCCACUGAAGUGA
This 735-nucleotide ribosomal RNA is filed under the name Triticum aestivum (bread wheat). Its description in RNAcentral is "partial small subunit ribosomal RNA". Lineage: Eukaryota; Viridiplantae; Streptophyta; Magnoliopsida; Poales; Poaceae. The record is from RNAcentral.